RNAcentral lists this ribosomal RNA (625 nucleotides) under Naganishia albidosimilis. RNAcentral describes it as "eukaryotic LSU rRNA". It matches the Rfam family "Eukaryotic large subunit ribosomal RNA", at positions 38 to 667 of the family's 3401-position model. The record is from RNAcentral. Lineage: Eukaryota; Fungi; Basidiomycota; Tremellomycetes; Filobasidiales; Filobasidiaceae.
GCAUAUCAAUAAGCGGAGGAAAAGAAACUAACAAGGAUUCCCCUAGUAACGGCGAGUGAAGCGGGAAGAGCUCAAAUUUGAAAUCUGGUAGCCUUCGGUUGCCCGAGUUGUAAUCUAGAGAAAUGUUUUCCGUGCCGGCCCAUGUACAAGUCCCUUGGAACAGGGCGUCAUAGAGGGUGAGAAUCCCGUCCUUGACAUGGACCCCCGGUGCUUUGUGAUACAUUUUCAACGAGUCGAGUUGUUUGGGAAUGCAGCUCAAAAUGGGUGGUGAAUUCCAUCUAAAGCUAAAUAUUGGCGAGAGACCGAUAGCGAACAAGUACCGUGAGGGAAAGAUGAAAAGCACUUUGGAAAGAGAGUUAAACAGUACGUGAAAUUGUUGAAAGGGAAACGAUUGAAGUCAGUCAUGCUCUUUGGUAUUUAUAUCAUUGAGUGGGGUCAACAUCAGUUUUGAUCGAUGGAUAAAGGCACAAGGAAGGUAGCACUCUCGGGUGAACUUAUAGCCUAGCGUCAUAUACAUUGAUUGGGACUGAGGAACGCAGCAUGCCUUUAUGGCCGGGAUUCGUCCACGUACAUGCUUAGGAUGUUGACAUAAUGGCUUUAAACGACCCGUCUUGAAACACGGACC